RNAcentral lists this ribosomal RNA (249 nucleotides) under uncultured Actinomycetales bacterium. Its description in RNAcentral is "partial 16S ribosomal RNA". It matches the Rfam family "Bacterial small subunit ribosomal RNA", at positions 84 to 334 of the family's 1533-position model. Lineage: Bacteria; Bacillati; Actinomycetota; Actinomycetes; Actinomycetales. The record is from RNAcentral.
GGGGUGCUCAAGUGGCGAACGGGUGAGUAACACGUGAGUAACCUGCCCUUGACUUUGGGAUAACUUCAGGAAACUGGGGCUAAUACCGGAUAGGAGCUCCUGCUGCAUGGUGGGGGUUGGAAAGUUUCGGCGGUUGGGGAUGGACUCGCGGCUUAUAAGCUUGUUGGUGGGGUAGUGGCUUACCAAGGCUUUGACGGGUAGCCGGCCUGAGAGGGUGACCGGCCACAUUGGGACUGAGAUACGGCCCAG